GACGAAGCGUGCGAACGUUGUUUGGAAUCACUGGGCUUAAAGGGCGCGUAGGCGGGCCACCAAGUCUGGGGUGAAAGCCCCCGGCUCAACCGGGGAAUUGCCUGAGAUACUGGUGGUCUGGAGGGAGGUAGGGGCAGCGGGAACUUCCGGUGGAGCGGUGAAAUGCGUUGAUAUCGGAAGGAACGCCGGUGGCGAAAGCGCGCUGCUGGCCCUCUUCUGACGCUGAGGCGCGAAAGCUAGGGGAGCGAACGGG
This 253-nucleotide ribosomal RNA is filed under the name uncultured bacterium. RNAcentral describes it as "partial 16S ribosomal RNA". It matches the Rfam family "Bacterial small subunit ribosomal RNA", at positions 524 to 776 of the family's 1533-position model. The record is from RNAcentral.